AUUGAACGCUGGCGGAAUGCUUUACACAUGCAAGUCGAACGGCAGCACGGAGAGCUUGCUCUCUGGUGGCGAGUGGCGAACGGGUGAGUAAUAUAUCGGAACGUGUCCAAUAAUGGGGGAUAACGAGUCGAAAGAUUCGCUAAUACCGCAUACGCCCUACGGGGAAGCAGGGGAUCGUAAGACCUUGCGUUAAUGGAGCGGCCGAUAUCUGAUUAGCUAGUUGGUAGGGUAACGGCCUACCAAGGCGACGAUCAGUAGGGGAUGUGAGAGCAUGAUCCCCCACACGGGUACUGAGACACGGACCCGACUCCUACGGGAGGCAGCAGUAAGGAAUAUUGGACAAUGGUCGGAAGACUGAUCCAGCCAUGCCGCGUGAAGGAUGAAGGCCCUCGGGUUGUAAACUGCUUUUGUACGGAACGAAAAGGUCUCUAUUAAUACUAGGGGCUCAUGACGGUACCGUAAGAAUAAGCACCGGCUAACUACGUGCCAGCAGCCG
RNAcentral lists this ribosomal RNA (496 nucleotides) under uncultured bacterium. RNAcentral's name for it is "bacterial SSU rRNA". It matches the Rfam family "Bacterial small subunit ribosomal RNA", at positions 30 to 517 of the family's 1533-position model. The record is from RNAcentral.